CGACAGAAGCCUUCGGGUGGAAGAUGAGGAUGACUGAGUGGCGGACGGGUGAGUAACGCGUGGGUAACCUGCCUUGGUGAGGGGGAUAACAGUUAGAAAUGACUGCUAAUACCGCAUAAGCGCACAGCAUCGCAUGGUGCAGUGUGAAAAACUCCGGUGGUACAAGAUGGACCCGCGUCUGAUUAGCCGGUUGGCAGGGUAACGGCCUACCAAAGCAACGAUCAGUAGCCGACUUGAGAGAGUGAUCGGCCACAUUGGGACUGAGACACGGGCGAGACUCCUACGGGAGGCAGCAGUGGGGGAUAUUGCACAAUGGAGGAAACUCUGAUGCAGCGACGCCGCGUGAGUGAUGAAGUAGUUCGCUGCGUAAAGCUCUAUCAGUAGGGAAGAUAAUGACGGUACCUACAGAAGAAGCUCCGGCUAAAUACGUGCCAGCAGCCGCGGUAAUACGUAUGGAGCAAGCGUUAUCCGGAUUUACUGGGUGUAAAGGGAGCGUAGACUGCACGGCAAGUCAGAUGUGAAAGCCCGGGGCUCAACCCCGGAACUGCAUUUGAAACUGUCGAGCUAGAGUACAGGAGAGGUAAGUGGAAUUCCUAGUGUAGCGGUGAAAUGCGUAGAUAUUAGGAGGAACACCGGUGGCGAAGGCGGCUUACUGGACUGUAACUGACGUUGAGGCUCGAAAGUGUGGGGAGCAAACAGGAUUAGAUACCCUGGUAGUCCACACUGUAAACGAUGAAUGCUAGGUGUAGGGGGUAUCGACCCCUUCUGUGCCGCAGUUAACACAAUAAGCAUUCCGCCUGGGGAGUACGGCCGCAAGGUUGAAACUCAAAGGAAUUGACGGGGGCCCGCACAAGCAGCGGAGCAUGUGGUUUAAUUCGACGCAACGCGAAGAACCUUACCAGGUCUUGACAUCCAGGUAAAGCGGUAGAGAUACCGUGUGUGCUUGCACAAUCUGAGACAGGUGGUGCAUGGUUGUCGUCAGCUCGUGUCGUGAGAUGUUGGGUUAAGUCCCGCAACGAGCGCAACCCUUAUGUUCAGUUACUAACGCGUAGAGGUGAGGACUCUGAACAGACUGCCGGGGACAACUCGGAGGAAGGUGGGGACGACGUCAAAUCAUCAUGCCCCUUAUGACCUGGGCUACACACGUGCUACAAUGGCCACCACAGAGAGAAGCGAGCCUGCAAGGGGGAGCGGAUCUCAAAAAAGUGGUCCCAGUUCGGAUUGUGGGCUGCAACCCGCCCACAUGAAGUCGGAGUUGCUAGUA
Molecule: ribosomal RNA, 1264 nt
Filed under: uncultured Eubacteriales bacterium
Lineage: Bacteria; Bacillati; Bacillota; Clostridia; Eubacteriales
Description: uncultured Clostridiales bacterium partial 16S ribosomal RNA
Rfam family: Bacterial small subunit ribosomal RNA
Source: RNAcentral